UACGAAGGGGGCUAGCGUUGCUCGGAAUCACUGGGCGUAAAGGGUGCGUAGGCGGGUCGUUAAGUCAGGGGUGAAAUCCUGGAGCUCAACUCCAGAACUGCCUUUGAUACUGAGGAUCUUGAGUUCGGGAGAGGUGAGUGGAACUGCGAGUGUAGAGGUGAAAUGCGUAGAUAUCGUCAGGAAUGCCGGUGGUGAAGACGGGUGACUGGGCUGGUUCUGACACUGAGGCACGAAAGCGUGGGGAGCGAACGGG
This 253-nucleotide ribosomal RNA is filed under the name uncultured bacterium. RNAcentral's name for it is "partial 16S ribosomal RNA". It matches the Rfam family "Bacterial small subunit ribosomal RNA", at positions 524 to 776 of the family's 1533-position model. The record is from RNAcentral.